AUUGAACGCUGGCGGAAUGCUUUACACAUGCAAGUCGAACGGCAGCACGGACUUCGGUCUGAUGGCGAGUGGCGAACGGGUGAGUAAUGUAUCGGAACGUGCCCAGUCGUGGGGGAUAACGUAGUGAAAAUUACGCUAAUACCGCAUACGAUCUAUGGAUGAAAGCGGGGGAUCGCAAGACCUCGCGCGAUUGGAGCGGCCGAUAUCAGAUUAGGUAGUUGGUGGGGUAAAGGCCCACCAAGCCAACGAUCUGUAGCUGGUCUGAGAGGACGACCGACCAUCCUGGAACUGAGACACGGUCCAGACUCCUACGGGAGGCAGCAGUGGGGAAUUUUGGACAAUGGGCGAAAGCCUGAUCCAGCCAUUCCGCGUGCAGGAUGAAGGCCCUCGGGUUGUAAACUGCUUUUGUACAGAACGAAAAGGUUUCUACUAAUACUAGGAGCUCAUGACGGUACUGUAAGAAUAAGCACCGGCUAACUACGUGCCAGCGGCCGCAGUAA
Molecule: ribosomal RNA, 500 nt
Filed under: uncultured bacterium
Lineage: Bacteria
Description: partial 16S ribosomal RNA
Rfam family: Bacterial small subunit ribosomal RNA
Source: RNAcentral